AUGAGUCAUUACAAGGAGAGAGGUUAUAUAACUAUUACAGGCUUAAUGUUGACUGCUUCUUUUCAAAUAAGCAAAUCUAUACAAAAACAGAAGUUACACAAAGCUACAUGAUGGGCAAAACCACAAAACAGGAACAAACUUCCCCAGUUGUAGAUAACCUUGACGAUAUGCAUAUCAACUUUGAAUCAGAGAUAUAGCUUGAUUAACAAUGACAAUAUUACAAGUAACUCGAUCAGAAGAUUUCCCUCUCAUUCUAGUGUGUCCUUUUUCAUAUGUGACACUUUGUAGUUGUUCCCUCCUUUGUCCUUCAUCACUUCAACCAUUCAAGACUAUAGAGUUAAAAACACAUGAUUUAAUCGAUUAACUUUCAUCUCAUUAAAAAACUCUCAACCGCAUUUAUUAACUCAUCAAUAGUUGAAGGAGCCAUUUGAUGCUGAAGUGAUUGAAUAACUCUAAAAAUCCAAUAUCCAAAAUAUUUAGAUCCGGACUGUUAGGAAGUUGAAAGCAUAGCCUAAUAUCGAAUUCACCUUGUCGAGCAGCCUCAUUUAAUUGCACGUCAUUAACACCUAGGUGAGGUUUUGCAUUAUCUUGUUGGAUAAAAAUAUGGCCAUUUGACCGUGAAAGUGGCCACUUUGAUCGAAUGGCAGGAAGAACCUUUUCAAUUAAACAAGUUCUAGUCACAUGUCACAUCUUUAUUGACAAAUAAAAUAGGUUUGUUUCCGAAGUUCCAACAACUCGAUUUUUGCUAUAUCUUCUUGCUGCUUCCUCGACAACAAAAGGGACAAUUCCUAGUUUUCCUGAAAAAUUUUCAACUCCAUCUUCAUCAUACCUAGGGUGUGCAACUGCAGCCAUAAACAUAACUUUCUUUAUGAAAUUCUUACUUUUACAUGCUCUAUAUGGGUUCGGCUCUUGUUCUUCGAGGAGAAGAUAGUAUCGUUCAAAUUUUUUGGAUAGAAAUAAUCAUUUCUCGUCAAUAUGAACAAAAUUAAACAUGUCUAAAAAUAAAGGAUUUGAAUGGAGUGUACCGGACUCGAUCAUUGACAAGCAAAAUUGAAGCCUUGCCUUUUUAUUUUCCUCCGUCAAAUAAGGUUUUAUGGCAUCGGCGUGUGACCUGAUGACUUCUUCUUUGAUACGAUGAAAGACCAUUGUUGUUUGCAUAUCCAACACACAAGUCAAAGAUCGAAAAUUUGUUCGGCGACAAAGAGGAGCCUCCUUGACUAGAUUAAGGUCAAAGUGAACUCGCUUUCUUCCAACACUUCCUGCAAUUUUAAUAGACACAUUUACUGUAGUGCCGUUAGCAAAACACAAUUUUGUUUGAUUCCAAAUUCGUCGCGCAGUACUCUUUGAAGCGUGCAACAAAAUAGUUGCUUGCUUUAUAGAGCCAUAAGUAGCACCUUCAUUUUUGCUUUGCUUUAGAAGCCAUUCCGCAAUUGCUUGGCGUU
RNAcentral lists this long non-coding RNA (1442 nucleotides) under Nicotiana benthamiana. RNAcentral's name for it is "long non-coding RNA (NBEN_LNC037399)". The record is from RNAcentral. Lineage: Eukaryota; Viridiplantae; Streptophyta; Magnoliopsida; Solanales; Solanaceae.